Molecule: long non-coding RNA, 395 nt
Organism: Triticum aestivum (bread wheat)
Lineage: Eukaryota; Viridiplantae; Streptophyta; Magnoliopsida; Poales; Poaceae
Exons: 3
Source: RefSeq, a predicted model, not a curated record
GUUUCGUACGGCAAUUCACGACAGGAGCGUUGGCGCGGGCUCCAGGUACGCCCUCGGCCACGUCGCCCCUGGGAUGCCCUUUGUACGAUGUAAUGUAUGGACGUGUCUUUAGGAUCAGUGGCAAAAUAUGCCUGAAGAACGUGUGCACGUUUUACCUUUGUUCCCAUAUGGCUGCAAGCACCCUUAAUCGCGAAACCUAGCUACAUCAAUGCGCCGCCGUCGAGGACAAUGCCCAGCCCGCAACCGAGGUCUUCCACAUAUAGGAUUUAUGGAACAGCAGGGGCAGCACUACCACAGCUACUGUCUUGCUGCAGUGAUGCGGGCUGGAGCUAGCUGGGUUGCACGCGGUGACGAGAGCAUUGUAUAUGUCCGUUCCUCCACCUUCAACAUGUCGA